This is a non-coding RNA of Sphaerobolus stellatus SS14, 84 nucleotides long. Lineage: Eukaryota; Fungi; Basidiomycota; Agaricomycetes; Geastrales; Sphaerobolaceae. The record is from the annotation of a GenBank genome assembly.
GGUCGCCUGGCGAAACGGGAUCGCGUCUGACUACGACUUCAUACUUAAAUCAGGAGAUUGUAGGUUCGAGCCCUGCAGUGGUUA